RNAcentral lists this ribosomal RNA (468 nucleotides) under uncultured bacterium. RNAcentral describes it as "partial 16S ribosomal RNA". It matches the Rfam family "Bacterial small subunit ribosomal RNA", at positions 28 to 507 of the family's 1533-position model. The record is from RNAcentral.
GACGAACGCUGGCGGCGUGCUUAACACAUGCGAGUCGAACGGAAAGGCCCUGCUUUUGUGGGGUGCUCGAGUGGCGAUCGGGUGAGUAACACGUGAGUAACCUGCCCUUGACUUUGGGAUAACUUCAGGAAACUGGGGCUAAUACCGGAUAGGAGCUCCUGCUGCAUGGUGGGGGUUGGAAAGUUUCGGCGGUUGGGGAUGGACUCGCGGCUUAUCAGCUUGUUGGUGGGGUAGUGGCUUACCAAGGCUUUGACGGGUAGCCGGCCUGAGAGGGUGACCGGCCACAUUGGGACUGAGAUACGGCCCAGACUCCUACGGGAGGCAGCAGUGGGGAAUAUUGCACAAUGGGCGGAAGCCUGAUGCAGCAACGCCGCGUGCGGGAUGACGGCCUUCGGGUUGUAAACCGCUUUCGCCUGUGACGAAGCGUGAGUGACGGUAAUGGGUAAAGAAGCACCGGCUAACUACGUG